UGAGUAACACGUAUCCAACCUGCCGUCUACUCUUGGACAGCCUUCUGAAAGGAAGAUUAAUACAAGAUGGCAUCAUGAUUCACAUGUUCACAUGAUUAAAGGUAUUCCGGUAGACGAUGGGGAUGCGUUCCAUUAGAUAGUAGGCGGGGUAACGGCCCACCUAGUCUUCGAUGGAUAGGGGUUCUGAGAGGAAGGUCCCCCACAUUGGAACUGAGACACGGUCCAA
Molecule: ribosomal RNA, 226 nt
Filed under: uncultured bacterium
Lineage: Bacteria
Description: partial 16S ribosomal RNA
Rfam family: Bacterial small subunit ribosomal RNA
Source: RNAcentral